UAAGACGAACCGUCCAAACGUUAUUCGGAAUCAUUGGGCUUAAAGGGUGCGUAGGCUGUGCAGUAAGUUGGGUGUGAAAUCCCUCGGCUCAACCGAGGAACUGCGCCCAAUACUGCUGUACUAGAGGAAGAUAGGGGUAAGCGGAACUGAUGGUGGAGCGGUGAAAUGCGUUGAUAUCAUCAGGAACACCGGUGGCGAAGGCGGCUUACUGGAUCUUUUCUGACGCUGAUGCACGAAAGCUAGGGUAGCGAACGGGAUUAGAUACCCCGGUAGUCCUAGCUGUAAACGAUGAGCACUUGGUCGGAGGCUCCUCCAUAGGCUUCUGGCCGUAGCGAAAGUGUUAAGUGCUCCGCCUGGGGAGUAUGGUCGCAAGGCUG
Molecule: ribosomal RNA, 377 nt
Filed under: uncultured bacterium
Lineage: Bacteria
Description: bacterial SSU rRNA
Rfam family: Bacterial small subunit ribosomal RNA
Source: RNAcentral